UGAAAAAUGCCUGAGUUGGAGUUAGCUAAAUGGAGGUGUGGUUGAGUGAGAGGGGCCAUGAUUAGCAAAAGAAAGAGCUUGAGCCAAGAGGUGAAAGCAAGAAAGUGUAUCCUGAAGGACAUAGAAGGGACAAGAGGCAGGAAGGCUUUCUCUGGUAUCCUAAAGAGUUUGGGCUUGACCCUGGAUGGAGAACUGCUAGGAGAAUUUGGGUAAGGCAAAGACACAACUAUUACAUUUUAGAAAAAAAUGAUACCACUGGCAAUACAGAAAAUGUAUCAAAGUUGAAGCCACUGGGUACAUCAUGGUUCAAGUCGCUGAGAAUGAGAACUGAUAGAGACCUAAGGGGGUGGCAAGUAGAGGGGAAUUCAUGAUGAACUCAGUUUGGAAUAUGUUGAAUUCACAUAUUCAGAGAAAUGUUUAGGGUAGUGGGGAAGACAAGAUUUGGGCAUAAGAGAGAGAAGAAAAAUUUGAGAGGUUGAGAUUGUGCAGUGCUUUAUCAUAGCAUGUAUGAUCUCUUGACACAUUCUUUAUUUCAUGUCUUCCCUGACUAGAAAUAAACUUCACGAGGGUGAGAACUUUGCUUUAUUUCCACCAUCUAGAACUGUGCCUGAACCACAGGGAGCACUCAGGAAAAAUUUACUGAAAAGAUGAAUUAUUCAGAAUUGUAGUUGAAAAGGUGUCUUCAGAGGAGUUUACUUACAUGCAGUGGACAUGAAAUAGGGCAUAGAGUGAAACCGUAGGCAAAACAUUGGGUGGAUAAUGUCAUUUGAUGCCAAAAAAGAAGCACUGAGGAAUUAGGAAAAACAAGAGAUAAUGAGGUCCCAGGUGACAAUGGAAGCAGUUGUGGAAAACUGCUUUAAAUGUCAUAGAGCACUCAGAAGGAAUUCAUAAAUGACCUCAUAAAGAAGUCCACUGUGGUUUCCCUGCAGAGGUGGGAAUAGAAUCAGAGUGCUAAGGAUUGAGGGAUUAAGAGGAGGUGAUUGUAUUAUUCCUCUUUUCAGAUAAUGGAGAGAGAGAAGAGAACAGCAGUAGCCGUUGCCAGAAAUAUUGAGCAAGGCGGAUUUAUUAGAUGAAGAUAUCAAAAUACUUUCCAUUGAGGAAACAGGUUGGAGGUGGGAGGCUGUAACCAUGCUUGAUUUUGUACCACCCUAACCUUUGCUUGAUCCAGGUUCCAGUCCAAUAUGCACCAUUCAGCCUGGUUGCAGCAUGUUAAGCAGCCCUGGAGGCAGCAGAUGAGGGAUCCUAUGAAGCAACUUUCAGACAUUCAGAACCAAGACAAAAAAAAAGAGAAUUAAAGUAAAAUAUGAUGUACCCAGGAGUUACAUCAGUGAACCAAAUACAGCCUCAAAUUUCGAUCUGUGCUUCACAGCAGCCAGCAAAAAGAACAAAACAUAUUUUGUUAGUUCAUAUAAAUAAAUAAAUUAAAAAUGCAUGAAUAAAUAAAUAAAGCAAACCAGUUUCUCGAUUCUGAAAUAUUUUCUGGAAGUGAGAACUGAAAGGAAUUUCCACCAUGGACCCACAAGCAGUUGUUGGUGGCAUAUAUAAUGAGUGCUGGGUGUUAAGGAAGCAAUGGUGAAGGAGAGACACCCUCCCGACCCUCAUGGUGCUUGCAGCCUAGUGGAGCUAUGAAAAGAUAGGCAAGUGAGUCCUAUGAUUGGAGAAGUAAUGAGAAGUAAUGAGAAGCGUCUUCUAAGCAUAGGGGUAAAGACUGCAAAGACCCUGAAGGGAGAAAGUAAUGGCCAUUCUGAGAACUGAAAGUUUGCACAGUGCACAGAGGGCAUGAAGAACGAAGGAAAGAGAUUUUUUUUUUUUUUUUUUUGCCCAAGAUGGCAAGUUGCUUAAAACCUAAAGCUCCUUUCAAUUCUUUACAAUCCAAGAUUAUAUGGAAUGGACUGGGAACAAAGAGAGGGACUGGCAUUUAAAGUCUUUUAUACACUUUGGAACAAAUGUUAUUCUCCAUUCAUCCUGACACUAAAUUGGUUAGCCAAACCCAAAGAUCUACUAAUAAUCCUGCUUUGGCAUGGGAGAAUGAGUGAGAUAAGGAGGCAAUAGAGGAGAUGAAUCGACAAAUGGAAGGAAUAGAAUUCUGGUUGAUGUCCUUGUCUCUAAGCUGUAGCAGCAAGUAUUUAUCCUAAUCAUGUGGUGUUAGCACGGAGAUGAGAAAGAGAGAAAGACAACAUCAUGCUUUGCUGUCUGUGUGUGAACUGAGUAACAGCUGUGAAGGAUCAGUCACCAAAAGACUUUGAAAGAAGAGGCUUGAUUGGUCACGGUAAUGAUGCUCCCCUGGCCAUGGAAGUUUAAUUGGGAGAAAAGAACAUCUGCUUAUACGAAAACAUAUUAUAUUCAGCCAUCCCUGCCCUGACUUUGGCCUUUAAAAACAGUGGCAUUAAUUAUCUCAACAAAUGAAUCUUCGGGAUAAAAAUAAUCUAAAUAUUAUUUUACGCUUACUACAUAUUUGCAACGUGCUAAGCUCUUUAUGGUUGCUACCACAAAAAACAUUUAUAAUAUGAGGUGGGUAUUUUUAUUAUAUACAUUUUCAGUUUAAAGACAGUAACUUCAGAAUGUAACUUGUCCUAGUCACACAAAAGCAGGUGUGGACUAAAACUCAAACCCAUGAUUCUUUCACUUUAAAUGAUAUGGUUCUGAACCAUUAAAUUCGAAUGCUACUAAGAAUGGUGAAUGCUAAGCAAUGUUAAGCUACACAUUGUUAUUAUUAACAAAUAAUUUCAAAAGGGCAGGAGAGGUAGGUUAAAAAUUAAAGGGUUAAGCUGGAAUAACAUGUCAAAUUUCUCAGAGUUUUUUAUUUUCAUGAAAAAAUAUAUUUUAUAUUGCAACAGAAUGAACUUGACUUAACAGUUUAGGUAGCUGAUUGCAUAUAUUUUGAUAGUCCUAUCAUAUUUCCAACAAAUACAUUUUCUCCCCACCCCACCUGCAACUGGAGACUUCACAAGGUUAGGAACAGGCUUCACUUCAUUGUGAUGUGUGUAAGGUGACAGAGGACAUAUAACGAAUACGUGGAAGAACUAGGAAUUUGACCUUAGCUUCCAGACAUUUUGAGGAGGAUACACUAUGUCCAUCUUGCUUUCCUAUCAAGAAAAGUAUACCCAGUUUGUGCAGUAGCCCUGUACCAACAGAUACAUUACAGCAGGUUGUUUCCGUAUUUUGGCUAUUGUGAAUAGUGCUGCAAUAAACAUGGAAGUGCUGAUAUAUCUUUGAGAUCUUGACUUCAAACAAAAGAAGAAAAUCUUGCAAUAUAUGACAACACGGAUUAACCUGGAGGACAUUGUGCUUAGUGAAGUUAGCCAGUCACAGACUGACAAGUACUGCACGAUUCCACUUAUGAAGACUACAGUUCCUAUCUUCACAGGUGGCUGUUAGCUCUAAAUGAACUCAUUUAUUUUGAAAGCAUGAUUUAAAGUAUAGUUUUAAACUAUAAGCAUUUCAGAAGUGAUGACCCAUGACUCAAAUCUCAAAAAUAAAUGCUACAGUUCACAGUUGGAAUAUGGACACAAGAAAAAUAAUAGGUGAGUAAAAAAAGAAUUUUUACCACAGAACAAAAGUUUAUUAAACACAAUUAUGAAUGAAUAUUAAUGUCAACAGAGUGCUUUUUAGAUGCCUCCUAAGCUUUGUAUGCACCUAAAAGAGAUACAAGUCAGCUCAGCUGCUAAGGAAUAGGCAGACCAGAAUGCAGUCAGAGAAAUAAACAGUUGAACAGAUAAUUCCAAAAGGAUGUGAUAAGUGUUAUGGGGGGAAUUCGGAGAAAGUGCCGAGGCAUCACACAGGAGAGACCAGCUGUCCCUGGCAUAGCUGGUGGAGAUCUUAUUAAACAACGAUACUAAGGCUGACUCUUGACUAUGAAACGAAUUUCACAGAGAAACAAGCAAAAAAGCAAUAGAAAUAUUAAUUUGUGUACCCUAUUUCAUGACAAUUAUAUACAAAAACAGAACGUUCAAAGCCUUAGGCAAUAAAACUGAUAUUUCUUGCAACAGGCUUUGGCCAAAAAAGAGUGCAGUUCUGUGAUGAAUAUCAGCUUCAUCAACAUGCCCCAGGCACCGUGAUGUCCCUCCUCUGCUCUGCUGCAUAACAGGGUGGAGACCAAAUCCAACAGUAUGAACAAGCAUCCAUCAAAACCACAGUUCUAUUAUUGAGACCAUUUCUGAUUGAAUUUCCUCAGCAGACUAUCCAAGUCGUCAUGUUCAUCAAGGUAUUCAAUUUAAAUGACCAUUAAAACGAAAUUAAGUUGGUAUUAACCUUGUCUUUUCAGAUGAUGCCACUGAAAGGUAAACAUACCAUUCUGACAUGCAUGAAAAUGAAACGACAAAUUGAUACACGCAGUGCUUGGAAUGGAUGGAGUCCUUCUAAUGAGUGAUUACCUGUGGUAUAACUAUAUUGAUUGUGUUUGUACAUGUCAAAUGGGGCUGGCGAGGAUGAACUUGAAGAAAUCAAUCUUGGAACCUGCUAGGACAGCAGCCUCCUGGUUUCACAGUACUAAAUCAUGACUUCAAAAUUUUGAAGUAAAAGAAAACUGCAAAACUUUGUAAAGGUACCAGUCUCUUCCUGACACUAUUUGCCUUGGCAAAAGAUUCACUGUCAACUUAAAAGACUAACAUGUGCUCAGAUGAUGAUUUGUGGAGGACAGAUAAUUAUGAGUACAUUUAGAAAUACACACUCUUCCAAACCCUGCUCUUUCCAUAUAAUGAAGUUAUUUAUUUCUAUUUUUUAUUUAUUUUUCUAAUAAUUACAAACAUACUUUGGAGACCCACAUUCCUGUAUUAUUCUUUCAACAUACUGAAGAAGAGUUAUUUCUAUGCUUCUUUCUAUGUGUUGGGCUUAAGAUUUAUUAGAAGGAAUGUGUAAAAACAAAGGCAGCAAAGUUUCUAUUUUUAUUGGGAGUCACUCCCGGAGUAAGUGGGGAUAGUUGUGCACACACACACACACACAUUCAUGCACAAAGAAAGAGUGAUCAAGUGUAUAACACACUUUUAGCAGUGUUUUGCUGGAAGAAUAAAGUAUAACUCCUUGUCCGCCCUUUUAUUAUACUGGGGUUCACACUAAGAGAGUCUGAGGACCUGUGGAACUCCCAUUUGCAUGAAAUAACUUUUGCAUCUAUUCUGGAGGAAAACUUCCUAAGGCAGAUUUGGACAGAAAAUUGCUAUCAGCGCAAAUAAAACAAUGCAAAGCCUACUCCGGGGAACGUUGCUCUGCCACCACUACUGAAAUGGGUCAUCCCCUUGGUUUCUGAAUAAAGAAUUAUGAAACCUGGGGCUAGAAUGCUCAGGGAGGAAUUUACCAAUCCAAAUCUUCCCCUUAUGGUAGAGAACAAACUUUCAAGGUUUGUUCUCCACUGUAAGUGUGCGAGGGCUGUUAGGGACCGUAAUAUGGCUGCCGGAGACUGGUGUGUGUACCUCCUUGACUGUACGUCUCAUUUCCAGUUAUGAUUUUACAAUCAUCUCUUUCUCAACCUUUGCUUUUAAAUAUAGGAAGGUACGGCUCACCAUGGAGCGGACAUUUUCUUCAGGAGCGGUACGGUGUCUAAGAUAUGCAGAGGUUGUAUUCUAGUCCUAUAACUCAAUUCUCAAACACAUGGCUUUUAGCCAGGGAUAUCCUAAAGGAAAAUUACACUAUAUGCAACCCCUCCUUACUCCUCAAAUAUUAUCUAUAUUAAACACAGCUGAAAUUUGAGAGUGUCCUUACAGGUGAAAAUUUAACAAUUUAACAAAAGGACACUGCUGAAUGUGUGGGGACAAAGGAAGGAUGAAUCUUUCAUCAUGACAAAAGACUACUUGCCACAUUCUCCCUUAACUUAGAAAAACAGAAAAGAGGCUGGGCGUGGUGGCUCCUGCCUGUAACCUCAGCACUUUGGGAG
This 5866-nucleotide long non-coding RNA is filed under the name Homo sapiens (human). Its description in RNAcentral is "HSALNT0333209". The record is from RNAcentral. Lineage: Eukaryota; Metazoa; Chordata; Mammalia; Primates; Hominidae.